UGGGCAAAACAUGUGCAGUUGAUUCUAGCU
This 30-nucleotide non-coding RNA is filed under the name Mus musculus (house mouse). The record is from RNAcentral. Lineage: Eukaryota; Metazoa; Chordata; Mammalia; Rodentia; Muridae.